Molecule: unclassified non-coding RNA, 750 nt
Filed under: uncultured Synechococcus sp.
Lineage: Bacteria; Bacillati; Cyanobacteriota; Cyanophyceae; Synechococcales; Synechococcaceae
Description: partial contains 16S ribosomal RNA and 16S-23S ribosomal RNA intergenic spacer
Rfam family: Bacterial small subunit ribosomal RNA (bases 1-262)
Source: RNAcentral
CUCAUAAACCGUGGCUCAGUUCAGAUCGUAGGCUGCAACUCGCCUACGUGAAGGAGGAAUCGCUAGUAAUCGCAGGUCAGCAUACUGCGGUGAAUACGUUCCCGGGCCUUGUACACACCGCCCGUCACACCAUGGAAGUUGGCCACGCCCGAAGCCGUUACUCCAACCCUUGUGGAGGAGGACGUCGAAGGUGGGGCUGAUGACUGGGGUGAAGUCGUAACAAGGUAGCCGUACCGGAAGGUGCGGCUGGAUCACCUCCUAACAGGGAGACAAACAAUGAUUUUGAUGUCUGAGUACUUAAUUCUUAGGCCGAAAUCCUGUCACCUUAGGUCGAUCGGUACCUCAAUUUUGAAGUCAAGAAUGCAUAGAGAUAUGGACUGCUUGAUGGAGAUUUUCAGUUCCUAAACUUUGUCUAGGUCACAUCCCACAAGGGUUGAGUCUUCCUGGGCCAUUAGCUCAGGUGGUUAGAGCGCACCCCUGAUAAGGGUGAGGUCCCUGGUUCAAGUCCAGGAUGGCCCAUUCGGUGUUGGGGGUUUAGCUCAGUUGGUAGAGCGCCUGCUUUGCAAGCAGGAUGUCAGGAGUUCGAGUCUCCUAACCUCCACUGAUCGAACUCAAUCUCCAUCUUCUGAAUGAUGGAAGGUGAACUCGAAUGUGAUGUGAUUUAGAUGUGUCCGCUGGCAUGACCCCAGCUUCCUGUCAUUCCGAAAUGACGUGAAUUAUCACGAUCUUUUGGUUGAUAAGAUGCUGGGC